AUUGACGCUGGCGGCAGGCCUAACACAUGCAAGUCGAACGAGUGGCGGACGGGUGAGUAAUGUCUGGGCAACUGCCUGAUGGAGGGGGAUACCUACUGGAAACGGUAGCUAAUACCGCAUACCAUCGGAUGUGCCCAGAUGGGAUUGGCUAGUAGGUGGGGUAACCGCUCACCUAGGCGACGAUCCCUAGCUGGUCUGAGAGGAUGACCAGCCACACUGGAAAUGAGACACGGUCCAGACUCCUACGGUAGGCAGCAGUGGGGAAUAGUGCACAAUGGGCGCAAGCCUGAUGCAGCCAUGCCGCGUGUAUGAAGAAGGCCUUCGGGUUGUAAAGUACUUUCAGCGGGGAGGCGUUACCCGCAGAAGAAGCACCGGCUAACUCCGUGCCAGUAGCCGCGGUAAUAC
RNAcentral lists this ribosomal RNA (405 nucleotides) under uncultured bacterium. RNAcentral's name for it is "partial 16S ribosomal RNA". It matches the Rfam family "Bacterial small subunit ribosomal RNA", at positions 29 to 526 of the family's 1533-position model. The record is from RNAcentral.